This is a long non-coding RNA of Pongo abelii (Sumatran orangutan), 2141 nucleotides long. Lineage: Eukaryota; Metazoa; Chordata; Mammalia; Primates; Hominidae. The record is from Ensembl.
UCAGAGGGUGGGUCAGGUGGUUGGGGUGAGAACUUGCUCACGGUGCACCCAACAAGACCUGCAGGUGCAUAUUAGUCCCAACUGCAGGGCCAGACCGAACACUUCCUGGGAAGUGUGUGGAGGGCUCUGCUAGAUCUUCCUGAGUUUCUGGCUAAAUCAUCAUCCCAGUUUGGUGCAGUCUCAUGUCUCUGUGGUUCCCAAGCUGCAUGAUCAGAGCCAGUGCGAAGACAGGGUCAGUGACCCACAGCUUUGGGGAAAAACAGCCCCACUGUUAACUUCCCUCCGCAAACCUGGGUCCCCAGGCCAUAAGGUGGGCACACUGGUGCUUACAGAAUGGGUGGAGGGCCCUACCUUCCAAGGCCUUGAUCCCAGCCUGCCUAUAAGGUUGGGAUUAGCAUGCAAUCCCCCUUCCCCAAUCCUGUCUUUUUAAAAUCUCAAGUUUGCACUUAACCUUGACAAUCAGCACCCUCUCCUACUCCAGUCCUAGAACUCAGUGGCCUUAGAGAAUGGGGUACCCUGCACUGAAGGUCCCUGCCUUGCUCCCAGUUCCAUCCUGGCCAAUAGGCUGAGCCUCAAGAGGUGAAAGAGAAAAAGGGAGGGAGGGAGGAAGAAUUAUUUAGAACAAAAGGAUGGCUCGAGCACGUCAGAGGCAAGUGAGAGGCACGUUGGUGAGAAGAGCAUGUGCAUGUUUGGGGUAGCUGGGGCCUACUGUCCCUUCAUUAGGGAAGGAGGCUUCCAGAAGAGGAUGUCUUCUAGAAAGAAAAAUUGUGUGAAGGCUGAAAAGGGGUUUGGAGUUUUGUCUUUGUUGAUUAGAAAGAAGGAAGAAGUCCGUUCUCAGUGUUUCAGGAAGAAAAGAGCAGGUAGAAAGGGAAUUUAAUGAUUUAACACACAAGGGUCCAGCCACAGCAGGUUGGAAAAUCCUCCAAAUUUGGCCACAGAAGCUGGCUAGGAAAAAACUGCCACUCAUUGGGCCACACGCUGGGUCCCCAUCAGUUCUCAAUGAAUGGUCAUUGAUUUACUUAGCAGAGAGGAGAAGUCACCAGCCACAAACCAAUCUUUGAGUUUGCAGGCCCUGAUUCCAGAAUAUAUGCAUCCAGCUCCCGGGUUCUCAGCUGGUUUUGCCCACUUCCCUUUGACUGUCCAAUCCAAAGCUAGUUUCUCAAGUUGUAUGGCUCAAAGACCAGUGACCACAAUGGGUCAUACAGUAGAGACCCACCUCCACAAAUUAGAACCAGGGUUCAGACUCCAUUGGGCACAUCUGGGAGGAAGGCAACCUCCUUUGUCGUCCUGUUGGUACCAGUCAUUCUCAAGUAUCUCCGACACCUGUGGUGGUUCAGUUUGCUGAGCCUGCCACCUGGUAUGAAUUAGACUGGGUGUGAUGAACAUUCAUCCAUGGAUAUACCCUGCCAUUUUGCAGUGCCUUAUAACUAAGGCACACUCCCCAUAAGAGUUUACUGCAGAGAAAGAACAGCAAAACAGGCACCCUCCUUGAAUUUACAACUCAUUAUCUGCAACAGGUUUUCUUUAAAUCCAAAACACAGGAUGGGAAAUGGGUUUCCCGGCCAGGUACUCAGAGGUCUGCAGGAAGUGACUCCCAGGCAAGGCAGACUUCAGUAAUCCCUGAAGCGUGAGCAUGUGGACUGCAUGGCUGGGUAGGGACUGGUGGACGUCUCUGGAGCUCCAGAACCUUGGAGAAUUCCUCAUGGAAUUCCCCUCCCAGCUCUUAGUGGGCUCUGUGGGGUCAGGAGGAGCCCUUCCUCCAGGUUUUCCUUCUUUCCUCCUCAGCAGAGAAACUGGAGAAAGGACAUCAAACUCAGUGCAGUCAAUUUGAGUGCUGAAAUAUUUCCAGAAUCAAUGGUGGUGCUAAACUAUCUCCAUGUUUCUAACAUUUUUAAUAGUGGAGUUGGUUUGUUUUUAAUCUCAUCACAAAAAUGCAGUGCCCUUGGGGAAGGGACCAGCCCCUUGGCCUGCCACUUUCCAGGUGUCCUUUAUCACUUUGACGGGACUCUUUGGUCUGCAGAAAAUGCUCUGUCUUGGCAUGCUUCUAGACUGUAAGAUUUGGGUUUUGUUUUGUAUUUUGUUUAUGUUUACAUGUAUCUUAUAUUUCCCUGAAAACUAAAUAAAGUUUUGGGCCUUUUUAA